Long non-coding RNA from Onychostruthus taczanowskii (white-rumped snowfinch), 1212 nucleotides. RefSeq lists it as uncharacterized. The transcript is spliced from 7 exons. Lineage: Eukaryota; Metazoa; Chordata; Aves; Passeriformes; Passeridae. The record is from RefSeq and is a predicted model, not a curated record.
AAUCUUUGUCACAAAUUGUUAUAAUUGUGAAACAAGUGAACUUGGCAGUGAUAUCUGGACUAAAGAUUUAAACUUGUUAUCAGUAUAUAAUGGUUAAUUAAUUUUAAAAGUUUCAUCCUUUUUAUUUACUUUGAUGUAUGUUUCAUUUCUGCUGACAGAAAUUCAUAUUCCAGAGGAAACUGGCUACUGCAAGCAUGAAGCUGUCUAAAGAAAAAACUACAUCAGCUGAGUUCUAUCCCCCAUCCCACCAGUGGAGUGAGUGUGGUGACAGGUUGCCAGCUGGGGUUAAGCCGUGACACCAUCUGAGCAGGAAAGUGACAUGUGCAGAACAAUCUACCCUGAAAUGCUUAGAACAAAUGAGAAAAAGCAAGCUAAAGAACAAUCUGACAACUAGAGUGAAAGGUGUCUGCUGACAUAAGAGAUUAAUAUUUUUUCAAGGAGUCUUUUGCAGAUACUCAGAUCUUCAGGGACUUUGCUGCACUUGUGCUAAUAUUCCUUAGAUUUUUGUACUCUAAAUCAACCAGUAAAGAAUGUGAUCAUCUUUGUGAUUUUACUUAUAAGUAAAACCAAUCAUAGUUUUGAACCAAGAAGCUUUCUCCUCAGGAAGCAGCACUGAAGUUUCCUGUUUGAUUAUGCCACAAAUCUUCCAAAGAUCUAAUUAUUGCUCUUUAAUAACUGCUUGCAGAACGGCAAGCUUCACUGAGAAUGUUGACUUGAUCAGACAUUUUCUGCUGAUUACAUGACAGCUGGGAGAAUUUGCCAUUUUCUUUGUUUGUAUAAAAUUACAAAGAACUUCAACAAUGAUUAGAUUCACAGUGAUCUGGAGGCUGUGGCAGUAAAGCACUUUCUACUUUGAUGAACUCAGCAGGUUUUAUUUCAUUUUGAAACAACGUAUGGCAGAUGGAAAACUGAUUUUGGUUGUCUAUUAAGAUUUUAAUGCUUUUUUUCCUUCCAAAAUAUUUUUUGGUUUGAGUUUUUUUUUCUUUUUUUUUUUCCUCCUUUUUUUUUUUUUUUUUGCUUGUUCUCACUCUAGAAUAAUAAUUGCCCCUUGGUUCUUUUCAUUUGAUGUCUAAAGAGGUUGACUUUCAUCAGCAUAGAAUAACACACUUGAAUCCCAAGGUUAUUUUAAUCUGGAAUGUUCAGGAAAGGUCUUUACCAUGUGAUAGGGAUUGUUGCUGAAUUUAUUUUUGUUUCUUGUUGGAAAUGUAGCUU